Molecule: long non-coding RNA, 799 nt
Organism: Carassius gibelio (silver crucian carp)
Lineage: Eukaryota; Metazoa; Chordata; Actinopteri; Cypriniformes; Cyprinidae
Exons: 3
Source: RefSeq, a predicted model, not a curated record
UUACAAUCUUCUCGUUUUAAGAAGAAAAUUAAAAAGAAGGAGGAGAGCAAGGUUUUUGGCCAUGGCGUUUUGUGGAGCAGUGUUAGCAACGUCGGUACAGAGAAACGUGUGGAUGUGGAGUCGCAGCCAGGAGUGGUGGGAUACUGAUAUACAUAUUGUUGAGGAAUUGGCUCUGGCUGUUCUGGUGAUGAGUGGAUUGUGGGUAAAUGCACACUUACAUGUGGUCUCUGAUCCUUUGAGGGGGUCGCUGCUGUCCUCUCCCACCACUGAGUGAACCCUCACGAUGUACUCCGUCAGCGGAGUGAGAUUCUCCAAGACCACGGUCGUCACCGUCCCGUCGACAAACAACUGCAACAGAGGAACAGAAGAAGAACUGGUCUGCUUUUAGACAUUUUUUUUUUUCUUUUGGAGCCUGGAAGGUCUGUCUGUACCUGGAUCGAGUUUCAAGGUUUCAUCAUGAAAAGGUCAAAGCCUUCAGGGAUUGCAUUAUGUAAAAAGGAAAAGAAAAUAAAAACCUUUGAGGACAGCCCCAUCAACACGCUGACAUAAUAGAGACACUGCAUUUUAGCCACAAUUCAUCACAUUUAAGUAUUGUACAUUAUUAUCCUCAAGACAUUUUAUCAGAAAGAGGUCGAUCAGAACUACAGAAUUAAUGCAUUAAUAUCAGUCUCUUUGUAAAAAAUGCCUUAAUGCAACCUCAAAAGCGUUUAUAUGCCACCUUUACAGUGUAAAUUUUCAUUCUUUUCCCCUCAGAAACACUGUAUCUCUCAGCCUCAGUCAUACAGUACCUGGACCCUUG